RNAcentral lists this ribosomal RNA (492 nucleotides) under uncultured bacterium. Its description in RNAcentral is "partial 16S ribosomal RNA". It matches the Rfam family "Bacterial small subunit ribosomal RNA", at positions 29 to 507 of the family's 1533-position model. The record is from RNAcentral.
AGUGAACGCUGGCGGUAGGCCUAACACAUGCAAGUCGAACGGCAGCACAGUAAGAGCUUGCUCUUACGGGUGGCGAGUGGCGGACGGGUGAGGAAUACAUCUGAAUCUACUUUUUCGUGGGGGAUAACGUAGGGAAACUUACGCUAAUACCGCAUACGACCUACGGGUGACAGCAGGGGAUCUUCGGACCUUGCGCGAUUGAAUGAGCCGAUGUCGGAUUAGCUAGUUGGCGGGGUAAAGGCCCACCAAGGCGACGAUCCGUAGCUGGUCUGAGAGGAAGAUCAGGCACACGGGAACUGAGACACGGUCCAGACUCCUACGGGAGGCAGCAGUGGGGAAUAUUGGACAAUGGGCGAAAGCCUGAUCCAGCCAUACCGCGUGGGUGAAGAAGGCCUUCGGGUGGUAAAGCCCUUUUGUUGGGAAAGAAAAGCAGCAGGUUAAUACCCCGCUGUUCUGACGGUACCCAAAGAAUAAGCACCGGCUAACUUCGUG